RNAcentral lists this ribosomal RNA (491 nucleotides) under uncultured bacterium. Its description in RNAcentral is "partial 16S ribosomal RNA". It matches the Rfam family "Bacterial small subunit ribosomal RNA", at positions 29 to 506 of the family's 1533-position model. The record is from RNAcentral.
AGUGAACGCUGGCGGUAGGCCUAACACAUGCAAGUCGAACGGCAGCACAGUAAGAGCUUGCUCUUACGGGUGGCGAGUGGCGGACGGGUGAGGAAUACAUCGGAAUCUACUUUUUCGUGGGGGAUAACGUAGGGAAACUUACGCUAAUACCGCAUACGACCUACGGGUGAAAGCAGGGGAUCUUCGGACCUUGCGCGAUUGAAUGAGCCGAUGUCGGAUUAGCUAGUUGGCGGGGUAAAGGCCCACCAAGGCGACGAUCCGUAGCUGGUCUGAGAGGAUGAUCAGCCACACUGGAACUGAGACACGGUCCAGACCCCUACGGGAGGCAGCAGUGGGGAAUAUUGGACAAUGGGCGCAAGCCUGAUCCAGCCAUACCGCGUGGGUGAAGAAGGCCUUCGGGUUGUAAAGCCCUUUUGUUGGGAAAGAAAAGCAGCAGGUUAAUACCCCGCUGUUCUGACGGUACCCAAAGAAUAAACACCGGCUAACUUCGU